CUUCCUUUUGCUUUCUGGUGGCAGGGAUACCAUGGAGGUAGCUAAGAGAAAAAGAAGCACCAGUUUGAGCGUGGAAAACAGUUUCCAUAGUUAGAUUUUCCGUAUUUCAAUGGGUUUAAUGCUAUAUUGGAACUUUUUGACUUUUGAAUACGAAUAUCUAAUCUCUUUGAAAAUCAAUUCCACAAACCAUCAUAUAACGAUUCCAAAACCUUUAGGAUAUGGUUCUCAGAGACAGCUAAGGCAAGACAUACAAAUACAUACUCAAAUGAAUAUCCUUUAUUCUUCUUGAAAGACAGCUAAUGCCUGAGAUGGAAAUAUUUAUCGGGGACCCAUGUAAGCCUCUAGCAUUAUAGAUAAGCUGAAGUAGAAAAGCAUGAAAAAGGCCAACUGUGUUAAGGGUGUCAUAAUCAAGUUGUGGAAUUACCACUCUGAAUCUCUUCUGUCUACAAAUAUUUAUUAUAUAAAGUAAACUACUUUGAUGUGUAUGUUUUUGCAAUUACGUUUUCUGUACUUUAGGCUAAAAAAUACCAUAAAAUAUGGCACAGUAACUCAGAGAAAUGAGUUCACGAUAGACUACCAGAGUCCUAACGAAAAGCAGAG
Molecule: long non-coding RNA, 600 nt
Organism: Chinchilla lanigera (long-tailed chinchilla)
Lineage: Eukaryota; Metazoa; Chordata; Mammalia; Rodentia; Chinchillidae
Exons: 3
Source: RefSeq, a predicted model, not a curated record